GAUGAACGCUAGCGGCAGGCUUAAUACAUGCAAGUCGAGGGGCAGCACGAAUAGCAAUAUUUGGUGGCGACCGGCGCACGGGUGCGUAACACGUAUACAAUCUACCUUCAACAGGGGGAUAGCCUUUCGAAAGAGAGAUUAAUACCCCCGUAAUAUAAGAGACGGCAUCGUUUUUUAUUGAAAGUUCCGACGGUUGAAGAUGAGUAUGCGUCUGAUUAGCUAGUUGGUGAGGUAAUGGCUCACCAAGGCGACGAUCAGUAGGGGAUCUGAGAGGACUAACCCCCCACACUGGUACUGAGACACGGACCAGACUCCUACGGGAGGCAGCAGUAAGGAAUAUUGGUCAAUGGAGGCAACUCUGAACCAGCCAUGCCGCGUGCAGGAUGACGGCCCUAUGGGUUGUAAACUGCUUUUGCCAGGGGAUAAAUUCCAUGCGUGGAAACUGAAGGUACCUGGUGAAUAAGCCACGGCUAACUACGUGCCAGCAGCCG
RNAcentral lists this ribosomal RNA (491 nucleotides) under uncultured bacterium. RNAcentral's name for it is "bacterial SSU rRNA". It matches the Rfam family "Bacterial small subunit ribosomal RNA", at positions 28 to 517 of the family's 1533-position model. The record is from RNAcentral.